Non-coding RNA from Aegilops tauschii subsp. strangulata, 2586 nucleotides. The record is from RefSeq and is a predicted model, not a curated record. NCBI's taxonomy places the organism in Eukaryota, Viridiplantae, Streptophyta, Magnoliopsida, Poales, Poaceae.
GCCCAACCUUCCUUGCCCACUCCUCUCGAUCCCAUCGUUCGUGGCCGCCGCCGUCCGAGGGGAGUCGCCGCCGCCGCGUCUCUCGAUCCCAUCGGCCCCGUCGGAUCUCGCCGCUGGCGGACGACUCGAGAAGACCCCGCCGGAUCUCGCCCUCGUCAUCAGUUCUGGAUCGCCGCCGCCGCCGAUCCCCUGCUCGCCCACGCACGCUGCCGCGGAUGAAGGCCGCCUGCUCGCGAUCCCCAAACCUGCUGGCGCCGCGCUCCGUAGGAUCCAAGUACGCCCCUCUCCGUGGUGUUCACUGAUUGCUUGGAGCAACAACGUGCUGUUGGAGUUGCCGAAGCAUUAGGUGAUUCGAUUGUGUGCGUUUGCUGGAUUUGUUUGACGAAGGAAAGAUGACGAUGAAGGACACACAGAGGAGUGUGAGCGGUGAUGGUACCAAGGUUACCGGCAGCGAUGGGGCUGGGAACGGUGAUCGGUGGUGCUGGUGUCGGCAGUGCGGUACAAGGUCAGGAUGCGGGAUGGGACGGCCAUCCGUGUGAGGCAGUCGGCGGCGAGGGUUUGUGGCAUCACGAGGAGCGCCCGCGGAUUCAAGGUGUUGGCCCGAGACCUCCGACGAGGGAGGAGACGAUGUUAGUAUUUCCAUAGGAAAAAAACAAGAGAAGAAGAACAAGAACAACGACGGCAAUCUCGGGUUCCAGGUACGAUGGAGCCGGCGGCGAAGCGCAUGGCGCUCGCAAACGUGAUAGUGGAUGGCGACGAUACCCUCAACUGCGGCAUCUGCUACCUCCCUCUCAAGCCACCAGUCUUCUAGUGUGGCGUCGGUCAUACCAUAUCCUCGCGGUGCCACGACAAGAUGGUGGCGGCAAGGAGGUGCCGUGUGUGUCACAUCCGGUUGACCGGCGGCUAUCGCUGGAACAUCGCACUGGAGAGGCUAACAGAGUCCAUCCGGGUGCCGUGCGCCAACGCCGCCCACGGCUGCACUGCCACGCCGGCCUACUAUGACCACCCCGACCACCUCAAGGCGUGCCCUCACGACGCCGUGCUAUUGCCCGCAGGCAGACUGCGGUUUCGCUAGCUCCACGGCGGCACUCCUGGACCACUUUGCCGACACGCACGGGUGGCCGUGCAUGACCGAGCUUGGGCCUGGGCGUGCAUCGAGGUCCAGCUCUAUGACGGCUUCAACGCCUUCUCGGCCCGUGCCCAAUGCCGGCAGUACCUGUUCCUGCUGAACGUGGCGUUGAACCCGUUUGGCCGAGCGGUCUCCAUGCUCUCCCUGCAUCCUCGGGCGUUGUCGGCGGCGCCAUGUUCUUUGGAGUUCGAGGUAAGACUCAGGUACUGCUGCAAGAUCAACCACCGUGGCGACACCAGGAAACUACGUUUAAAGUAGGGUGCACUGAUCUCUCCGAACUCAGAUUUAUGACAAGGACACAAGCAAAUUUAUAGCAUCCGUUGUGAUGAUACAAGGGAAGUAAGCAUAGAUGCGCUCAACGUGAUGAUAGGUGGGAGAGCUUGGCCUAUGCUGCCAACUGAUCUGCAGCGGUGCAGAAGGAGAUUUCAAAAGCAGGGCAAGCGAGAGCGACUGUUCUAUUGAUGGUCAAAGGGAGGGCUUGGCAAGAGAGAUUGAGGGAGCUCUACUACCUCGAUCUUGGCAUAGAACCUGAUGGCAUCAUGCCCAGGAAACUUCCUUCUUCAGUAUGUAUGGGGAUUUAUAUGACACCAAAAGAGAAGUCCGGUGUGUUUCUUGGUUCUAUGGAACCCCUCGACCGGAAGCAAAUAGAUCACAUCGCAAGUUGCUUGCCCAAUAUAAUCGUGCCGCAAGUUACCAACAUCGCGUGCUUAUACACCAUCGACUUUGCUGGAAAUCUAUCUGUCCGUGCUCCACCGUCUGUCGGAACUUCUUCUGCCCAUGCUACACCUGAGCUCAACACUGCAUCGCCCGGUUCGUUUGCUUGCUUCCUUUGCUUGGCUCAGGAAGGAGAAGGCCAGGACUAGCGACAAGAACCUAAGGGUCUUGCGUCACGGCCUUUGCCCAGAAGGCGAAGAACUAAAACUAAUUUUUUUUUACCUUCCAAAAAAUUACAUGAUACAUAACUACUCCCUCCGUUCAGAAAUACUUGUCAUCAAAAUGGACAAAAGAAGACAUAUCUAGACGUAUUUUAGUUCUAGAUACAUUCUUUUUUGUCCAUUUUGAUGACAAGUAUUUUCGGGCGGAGGGAGUAUUAUUAGACUUUAGAUCUCAACCAUUAUAAUCUAGACCAAUUGAUCUUUGCCCCGUUUUUUCUGGUAUGUAUACUACAAAUCUAUUUUCCAAUCAAAGUACACAAAGUUUUUUUUUAAAGAGCUGAGUAAGUUAUAAGAAAGAAGCAGGAGUCCGACUUCUCCAUUUGGUAUUGAACAUAAUCACAUGUAUUUUGAUUAGACUCUUUCUUAGGGUCUUUUUUUUAUUUGGAUUCUUUUUUUAGUCUACCAUAAGAUGGCUACCAUAGAAAGGCAUUGAUCUAUCUGUACUUUUUUUUAGAAUGAUAUGUGACAUGUUAAACUAUUUGUACAUGGUAAUAUUUAUAAGUAACGCUACAUUUUUUUAAA